GUCGAUAUGUCCGAGUGGUUAAGGAGGUAGACUCGAAAUCUACUGGGCUUUGCCCGCGCAGGUUCGAAUCAGCCCGCGCAGGUUCGAAUCCUGCUGUCGACG
Transfer RNA from Oryza sativa (Asian cultivated rice), 102 nucleotides. It matches the Rfam family "tRNA". Rfam says of the family: Transfer RNA (tRNA) molecules are approximately 80 nucleotides in length. Their secondary structure includes four short double-helical elements and three loops (D, anti-codon, and T loops). Further hydrogen bonds mediate the characteristic L-shaped molecular structure. tRNAs have two regions of fundamental functional importance: the anti-codon, which is responsible for specific mRNA codon recognition, and the 3' end, to which the tRNAs corresponding amino acid is attached (by aminoacyl-tRNA synthetases). tRNAs cope with the degeneracy of the genetic code in two manners: having more than one tRNA (with a specific anti-codon) for a particular amino acid; and 'wobble' base-pairing, i.e. permitting non-standard base-pairing at the 3rd anti-codon position. The record is from Rfam. Lineage: Eukaryota; Viridiplantae; Streptophyta; Magnoliopsida; Poales; Poaceae.